Molecule: long non-coding RNA, 668 nt
Organism: Eucalyptus grandis
Lineage: Eukaryota; Viridiplantae; Streptophyta; Magnoliopsida; Myrtales; Myrtaceae
Exons: 2
Source: RefSeq, a predicted model, not a curated record
UCCGCUAUCGGUUGGCCCCAGGCAGUCCAUGACCGGCGCUGAUUUGAUCCUGUCACAGUUUGCAUUCGAAGCCAUUGCCAAUCCGUCCAUGGUUUCGAUCAGCGUGGAGUUUAAAAGGGUCUGAUUUUUGGUUAUGGCACAAGGCUCAAGACAGGGAGGCGAAAGCAAAUCGAGUUGUAAUAGUGAUACAUAUAAAUUUAGACACAGUUUAUUCGGAAUGCUGGUUGGUCUUGUUGCUCUUUUGUUUUUCAAAUGUUUGCUGUUUUCGAAUUUAAGAGGAUGGACUCAGCCAGUGUGAGGGCUGAGAGGAAAGAUCGGAGGUUACAUUGGUCGCGGUUGAUCUUUGCUAAGAUAGAUGUUACUCUGUCGCUGGUUUGAAGUUUUGGGAAGAAUUAUAGCACUGCCCCAAAUUUGUACUCAUGUGGUAUUUUUCUCACUGUUUCUAUUCCGUCGGUGGUACCGUUGCAAAUUUUACGUGGCAGCUGAGUGGGAGAAAGAAUGCAAGCGGUGCUAACAUGGAGAUCUGCUACUAUAGAUGUGGACUCCAUUGAAUUGUUCAGAGCCGGGAAGUUGCUGUGUGUUCUUUGGUGGCUGUGCUCUGCGUUUUCGACUGGUCUAGGACUCUAUCUGGACUUAAACUCAAUCAAUCUGAAACUGCUCUAUUUACA